Molecule: ribosomal RNA, 468 nt
Filed under: uncultured bacterium
Lineage: Bacteria
Description: partial 16S ribosomal RNA
Rfam family: Bacterial small subunit ribosomal RNA
Source: RNAcentral
GACGAACGCUGGCGGCGUGCUUAACACAUGCAAGUCGAACGGAAAGGCCCUGCUUUUGUGGGGUGCUCGAGUGGCGAACGGGUGAGUAACACGUGAGUAACCUGCCCUUGACUUUGGGAUAACUUCAGGAAACUGGGGCUAAUACCGGAUAGGAGCUCCUGCUGCAUGGUGGGGGUUGGAAAGUUUCGGCGGGUGGGGAUGGACUCGCGGCUUAUCAGCUUGUUGGUGGGGUAGUGGCUUACCAAGGCUUUGACGGGUAGCCGGCCUGAGAGGGGGACCGGCCACAUUGGGACUGAGAUACGGCCCAGACUCCUACGGGAGGCGGCAGUGGGGAAUAUUGCACAAUGGGCGGAAGCCUGAUGCAGCAACGCCGCGUGCGGGAUGACGGCCUUCGGGUUGUAAACCGCUUUCGCCUGUGACGAAGCGUGAGUGACGGUAAUGGGUAAAGAAGCACCGGCUAACUACGUG